This 728-nucleotide long non-coding RNA is filed under the name Cricetulus griseus (Chinese hamster). Its description in RNAcentral is "lncRNA (ENSCGRG00015043119.1)". The record is from RNAcentral. Lineage: Eukaryota; Metazoa; Chordata; Mammalia; Rodentia; Cricetidae.
CAGCAUGGUCUACAAAGUAAGUUCCAGGACAGCCAGGGUCACACAGAGAAACCCCUGCCUCAAAAAAACAAAGAUAGAUAAAUAAAAAUGUCAGUUCUAAAAACAAUCUCAUGGCACUAAAAUGGGGAAAAUAAUUAAACUCAGCUUCCAGGAGCCAAUGGAGAAUUGUAGUUGACUCCAGCAAAUAAUCUGUACCAUGUAAAGUCAACGUUCAUAGACUCUCGUAAUAAUUUCACAGGUUACAUAUUAUCACUCAGAAAGAGUUCUGCAAAAAGGCUCUUGGGGCUGAAGAAACUGUAGACAAAAUUUGCUCCAACUUUUUCUGACCUUCCUACAAAAACCCCACAAGCACGUAGUAGUGAAUGUUGAUUUUAUGAUUCCUGCUGUUCCUUUAACUAGUGUUAAGAAUAACAUUCUUGGGUAUAAUUUUCAAGUACUCCAACUGAAAUUCCCAUUACUGGAAGAUCUGUGGAUUUUAGUUGUUUGCUACACCUUGCCUUGAGUACCAUGGCUUGGCUUGGUGGGUGGGGUUGGGGGUGGAGGGGUUCAAUUUGUAGUGAAUGAUUAAAAAGGUAGAGUCUAACAGCCGAGUUAACCAAUUUUUACAUGUUCAAAGAUUGAGCUAUAUACCCGACUCCCACCAACUCCUAAAGGAACUACUCAAAGUGAGUUCAGCUGUGUACGGUGUUGUACUCCUGUAAUCCCAGCAAAGACAGGAGGGUUGCCAG